RNAcentral lists this transfer RNA (63 nucleotides) under Colpocephalum eucarenum. RNAcentral's name for it is "tRNA-His". Lineage: Eukaryota; Metazoa; Arthropoda; Insecta; Psocodea; Menoponidae. The record is from RNAcentral.
AAGAUGAUAGUUUACUAAUUAAAAUACUGGAGUGUGGUUCUAGUGAAGCUUUUGCUCGUCUUA